AAAGCCGGUCAGACAACCGCUGCCACGCAAGUGGGAGAGGAAAGUCCGGGCUCCAUAGAGCAGGAUGCCGGCUAACGGCCGGACGCCGUGAGGCGAGGAAUAGGGCCACAGAGACGAGCGUAUUAAGUUACGGUGAAACGCGGUAACCUCCAUCCGGAGCAACACCAAAUAGGCAGGCGAUGAAGCGG
This 188-nucleotide RNase P RNA is filed under the name Hydrogenophilales bacterium 17-64-65. Its description in RNAcentral is "partial RNase P RNA component class A". It matches the Rfam family "Bacterial RNase P class A", at positions 1 to 251 of the family's 367-position model. From Rfam's summary of the family: Ribonuclease P (RNase P) is a ubiquitous endoribonuclease, found in archaea, bacteria and eukarya as well as chloroplasts and mitochondria. Its best characterised activity is the generation of mature 5'-ends of tRNAs by cleaving the 5'-leader elements of precursor-tRNAs. Lineage: Bacteria; Pseudomonadati; Pseudomonadota; Hydrogenophilia; Hydrogenophilales. The record is from RNAcentral.